This 1107-nucleotide long non-coding RNA is filed under the name Homo sapiens (human). RNAcentral's name for it is "non-protein coding lnc-EMC3-3:11". The record is from RNAcentral. Lineage: Eukaryota; Metazoa; Chordata; Mammalia; Primates; Hominidae.
CACCGCUGCAGCAGAGUUCUGUGCUAGCCGGGCAUAGGGGCGAGAGAAGGCCCAGAGGCGACGUCAGAGAGAAGCAACUGCGCCCCGGUGAAGAGAAGCUCGCCCAUCACCGGCUGGGAGCCAGCUUUCAGUGAAGAUGGCAGGGCCAGAACUGUUGCUUGACUCCAACAUCUGCCUCUGGGUGGUCCUACCCAUCGUUAUCACUCUUCGUAGACAUGAUCCGCCACUACGUGUCCAUCCUGCUGGAGAGCGACAAGAAGCUCACCCAGGAACAAGUAUCUGACAGGGGACGAGGCACCCACAGUCCCUCUCCCAUAAGCCUGCCAAGAAGAUUGAUGUGGCCCGUGUAACCUUUGACCUGUACAAGCUGAACCCACAGGACUUCAUUGGCUGCCUGAACAUGAAGGCGACUUUUUAUGAUACGUACUCCCUUUCCUAUGAUCUGCACUGCUGUGGGGCCAAACGCAUCAUGAAGUGAGCAAAUUGGGGUUUCCUGGGGACAAGGUGGGUACGGGCAAUGGGAGAGCCCCUGUCUGUUCACAUGGACUCAGCCUUCUCAGCACCUGGGUCUGGCUUUGGUGCUGACAAAGCAUAGCCUGUAUCAGACAACACGGAGCCUGAUGGGCUCUCGAAGUGCUGUGGACAACACUGGCGUGUGCCCAGGGGUGCACAUGUUCCUCCUGGUGGAACCUGGAUGCAUUUUAUUUUUAUGACUACUUUCCACUCUAGCAACUACAUUUUUUCAUUGAAAUAGGAAGUUUUCCUAAGUAGUCUUCUAGUCAGUUUUUUAAAAAUGAACAUGUGUUGGCCAGGCAUAGUGGCUCACGCCUCUAAUCCCAGCACUUUGGGAGGCCAAGGUGGGUGGAUCACUUGAGGUCAGGAGUUUGAGACCAGCCUGGCCAACAUGGCAAAACCCAAUCUCUACAAAAAUUAGCUGGACAUGGCAGUGCAUGCCUGUAAUCCCAACUACUCAGGAGCCUGAAGCAGGAGAAUCGUUUGAACCCAGGAGGUGGAGGUGACAGUGAGGCGAGAUUGUGUCACUGCACUCCAGCCUGGGCAAAACAGCAAGUGUCUUACCAAAAAAAAAAAAAAAAAGUAUGUGUCAAA